RNAcentral lists this ribosomal RNA (1033 nucleotides) under Xylaria curta. RNAcentral describes it as "SSU rRNA". It matches the Rfam family "Eukaryotic small subunit ribosomal RNA", at positions 49 to 1093 of the family's 1831-position model. Lineage: Eukaryota; Fungi; Ascomycota; Sordariomycetes; Xylariales; Xylariaceae. The record is from RNAcentral.
CCAUGCAUGUCUAAGUAUAAGCAAUUAUACGGCGAAACUGCGAAUGGCUCAUUAAAUCAGUUAUCGUUUAUUUGAUAGUACCUUACUACUUGGAUAACCGUGGUAAUUCUAGAGCUAAUACAUGCUAAAAAUCCCGACUCACGAAGGGAUGUAUUUAUUAGAUUAAAAACCAAUGCCCCUCGGGGCUUUCUGGUGAUUCAUAAUAACUUCUCGAAUCGCAUGGCCUUGCGCCGGCGAUGGUUCAUUCAAAUUUCUGCCCUAUCAACUUUCGAUGGCAGGGUCUUGGCCUGCCAUGGUUACAACGGGUAACGGAGGGUUAGGGCUCGACCCCGGAGAAGGAGCCUGAGAAACGGCUACUACAUCCAAGGAAGGCAGCAGGCGCGCAAAUUACCCAAUCCCGACACGGGGAGGUAGUGACAAUAAAUACUGAUACAGGGCUCUUUUGGGUCUUGUAAUUGGAAUGAGUACAAUUUAAAUCCCUUAACGAGGAACAAUUGGAGGGCAAGUCUGGUGCCAGCAGCCGCGGUAAUUCCAGCUCCAAUAGCGUAUAUUAAAGUUGUUGCAGUUAAAAAGCUCGUAGUUGAACCUUGGGCCUGGCUGGCCGGUCCGCCUCACCGCGUGCACUGGUCUGGCCGGGCCUUUUCCCUCUGGGAGCCCUAUGCCCUUCACUGGGUGUAGUGGGGAACCAGGACUUUUACUGUGAAAAAAUUAGAGNNNUCAAANNAGGCCUAUGCUCGAAUACNUCAGCAUGGAAUNAUAGAAUAGGANGUGUGGUUCUAUUUUGUUGGUUUCUAGGACCGCCGUAAUGNUUAAUAGGGACAGUCGGGGGCAUCAGUAUUCAAUUGUCAGAGGUGAAAUUCUUGGAUUUAUUGAAGACUAACUACUGCGAAAGCAUUUGCCAAGGAUGUUUUCANNAAUCAGGAACGAAAGUUAGGGGNUCNAAGACGNNCAGAUACCGUCGUAGUCUUAACCAUAAACUAUGCCGACUAGGGAUCGGNCGGUGUUAUUUUUUGACUCGUUCGGCACCUUACGA